AAUAGGAAGAAAAGAAAAAAAGAAAAGGAAAAUGAAAGGGUAUUAUAGGUAUUUCAUCUUAUCUAGCCAUUUCAAACUACAUGAAGAGCCGUUUUGCCAAAUCUUUUUUAAAAGGAGGAGCUGGAGCCGGAGAAGCCACUCCACUAGUGGAGCGUUUUCAUAUGAGGGCCCUUAUCUCCUCUCCUCGGCCAUCACCCUGCCUCUGCUUGGAUCUCACCCCAGGGCCCAGGCUGCGGGCGGGGAGGUGAGCUGGUCAGCGGCGAGCGUCGAGGCUUCCAUAUUCUCAUCCGAUUAUCUCCACCCUUUCCGUCUUUGUCUGAUCAUAUGGUUCCUCAUCCCUCAGCACCGACGCCCGCCGCCUGUUCGACGGAAUGGCUCCGAGGAGAAGGGGGAAAAGGGUCAAGAAGGCGCCUACGGAGAGCGCCGGCAGCAGCAUAGACGACUUGCCGACGGUGUCCUCCAGGACAUCCUCCGUUUCCUGCCGGCGAGGGACGCCGUGCGGACGUGCGUGCUCGCCCGGCGCUGGCGCGACCUCUGGAUGUUCGCGACAGGCCUGCUCAUCAUCGGCUACGACGACGACGACGACGACAUGGAGGAGCUUCGGGAGUCUGUCGACCAUCUUCUUCUCACCCGCGGAAUCGCGCCUCUAGAAACAUGCGAGCUCAGGUUCGACGGUAUCGCUGAUGUUUUCUCUGAUGGAGACGUCCUCCGUGUGAACCUCUGGUUCCGGCAUGCCAUACGGUGCCAGGUUCGGGUGCUCCGGUUGCUUUUGGCAGGGCAUAGCCGACACUUUGAUCUACAUGACCUGCUCCGGUUGCUCUUGAUUUGGACGCAAUAAAAUGCAUUCUCAAGAACUCUCCACUUCUAGAGAAGCUCACUCUUGAAUUUUCUUCUAAGGGAUCUGGCCAUAAAUUUGAAAUGAAAGGAAACAAUAUUCCGGUACAUGAAACAACUGCAAUAUCUGAACACCUUAAGAUAGUAGAGGUGAAAUGUGACGUGGUUGAUGAGAAAGUUUACAAAGUUUUGAAGCUCCUGUCUACAUUCAACAUUUGUUUCAGUUUCGGGUAGGGCAGGAAAGCAAGGGGUGCCGCCGGAUGUACUAUCUCUCGAGUCUCGAUUCGGAAAAAAACAUGUCACGAAGUGUGUUUGGCCAAGUUCUGGGUACCUUUAUUGAGAUCCAGCCGAAGGUACUGUGUAGAAUUGGCAAUGUAACUUGUUUAGACCUUGGGAUCACCUAGUCGGACUUAGCGCUUUUAGAGUCGGACAUAGCUUAUCAUGUCGCGAGAUUUCUGUUGCGCUUUUGGUUCUUGCUGAUCCACUCAGCGAUCUGGACUGAGAGCACUUUUCAUCAGACGUUCCAUCAGAAGAGAGCUGAAUGCUGAUCUACUCA
Setaria italica (foxtail millet) is the source of this 1390-nucleotide long non-coding RNA. RefSeq lists it as uncharacterized. NCBI's taxonomy places the organism in Eukaryota, Viridiplantae, Streptophyta, Magnoliopsida, Poales, Poaceae. The record is from RefSeq and is a predicted model, not a curated record. The transcript has 3 exons.